AUUGAACGCUGGCGGCAGGCCUAACACAUGCAAGUCGAGCGGAGCGGCGGACGGGUGAGUAAUGCCUAGGAAUCUGCCUGGUAAUGGGGGAUAACGUCCGGAAACGGGCGCUAAUACCGCUUACUAUCAGAUGAGCCUAGGUCGGAUUAGCUGGUUGGUGGGUUAAAGGCCUACCAGGGCGACGAACCGUAACUGGUCUGAGCGGAUGAUCAGUCACACGGGAACUGAGACACGGGCCAGACUCCUACGGGGGGCAGCAGUGGGGAAUAUUGGAAAAGGGGGGAAAGCCUGAUCCAGCCAUGCCGCGUGUGUGAAGAAGUUCUUCGGAUUGUAAAGCACUUUAAGUUGGGAGGCGUUACCAACAGAAUAAGCACCGGCUAACUUCGUGCCAGCAGCCGCGGUAAUAC
This 407-nucleotide ribosomal RNA is filed under the name uncultured bacterium. Its description in RNAcentral is "partial 16S ribosomal RNA". It matches the Rfam family "Bacterial small subunit ribosomal RNA", at positions 30 to 526 of the family's 1533-position model. The record is from RNAcentral.